GAUGAACGCUGGCGGCGUGCCUAAUACAUGCCAGUCGAGCGAACAGACGAGGAGCUUGCUCCUCUGCCGUUAGCGGCGGACGGGUGAGUCACACGUGGAUAACCUACCUAUAAGACUGGGAUAACUUCGGGAAACCGGAGCUAAUACCGGAUAAUAUAUUGAACCGCAUGGUUCAAUAGUGAAAGACGGUUUUGCUGUCACUUAUAGAUGGAUCCGCGCCGCAUUAGCUAGUUGGUAAGGUAACGGCUUACCAAGGCAACGAUGCGUAGCCGACCUGAGAGGGUGAUCGGCCACACUGGAACUGAGACACGGUCCAGACUCCUACGGGAGGCAGCAGUAGGGAAUCUUCCGCAAUGGGCGAAAGCCUGACGGAGCAACGCCGCGUGAGUGAUGAAGGUCUUCGGAUCGUAAAACUCUGUUAUUAGGGAAGAACAAAUGUGUAAUUAACUAUGCACGUCUUGACGGUACCUAAUCAGAAAGCCACGGCUAACUACGUG
Molecule: ribosomal RNA, 497 nt
Filed under: uncultured bacterium
Lineage: Bacteria
Description: partial 16S ribosomal RNA
Rfam family: Bacterial small subunit ribosomal RNA
Source: RNAcentral